RNAcentral lists this unclassified non-coding RNA (419 nucleotides) under Zea mays. RNAcentral's name for it is "misc RNA Zm00001eb172430". The record is from RNAcentral. Lineage: Eukaryota; Viridiplantae; Streptophyta; Magnoliopsida; Poales; Poaceae.
GUCUGUUGUUGUUCCGAGAACAUCAAAUCUGUGCAGAAACCAAAAACAUGUACUAUACACGCCUACACUGCUACCUCGAGGGCUCGAGGCUCCAAGAAGAAAAUAGAUCUUCAUCUCCAUCAAUAUUCAAUACCUGUUGUGUGCCAGGGCGCCGUCGACCCUUGGCUGCACAAUUGUGAGCAGCACACGAUACGGCGGCACUGCCUAGCAUAUAUUGGUGAAGAAGAGAAACACGCCCAUGACAAUGCCGACGAUGAUGGCGGGCUCCGGCAACGCGCGCAAGGUGGCCGCAAGCUCGGCGCCGACCUCGCCCACGCGGACGAACACCUUGCCCUUCGUCCACAGCAUGUAAUCGAUGCUGACCUCGACAUUCACCAUGGCAGCAGCGGCGACCGUAUAUAUCGGCGAAGAAGAGGAAC